Molecule: ribosomal RNA, 253 nt
Filed under: uncultured bacterium
Lineage: Bacteria
Description: partial 16S ribosomal RNA
Rfam family: Bacterial small subunit ribosomal RNA
Source: RNAcentral
UACAGAGGGUGCUAGCGUUGUUCGGAAUCAUUGGGCGUAAAGGGCGUGUAGGCGGUUUGUUAAGUCAUGUGUGAAAUCCCUCGGCUCAACCGGGGAACGACGCAUGAAACUGGCAAGCUAGAGUACCAAAGAGGGCGGUGGAAUUCCCGGUGUAGCGGUGAAAUGCGUAGAUAUCUGCAGGAACACCCGUGGCGAAAGCGGCGCGCUGGACCACUACUGACGCUGAGGAACGAAAGCUAGGGGAGCAAACAGG